Molecule: ribosomal RNA, 293 nt
Filed under: uncultured bacterium
Lineage: Bacteria
Description: partial 16S ribosomal RNA
Rfam family: Archaeal small subunit ribosomal RNA
Source: RNAcentral
GUGCCAGCAGCCGCGGUAAUACCGGCAGCCCGAGUGAUGGCCACUCUUAUUGGGCCUAAAGCGUCCGUAGCCGGCCUCGCAAGUCCGUCGGGAAAUCCACCCGCCCAACGGGUGGCCGUCCGGUGGAAACUACACGGCUUGGGACCGGAAGGCGCGACGGGUACGUCCAGGGUAGGAGUGAAAUCCCGUAAUCCUGGACGGACCGCCGAUGGCGAAAGCACGUCGCGAGAACGGAUCCGACAGUGAGGGACGAAAGCUAGGGUCUCGAACCGGAUUAGAUACCCUUGUAGUCC